RNAcentral lists this microRNA precursor (125 nucleotides) under Myotis lucifugus (little brown bat). RNAcentral describes it as "mir-9193 microRNA precursor family". It matches the Rfam family "mir-9193 microRNA precursor family". Lineage: Eukaryota; Metazoa; Chordata; Mammalia; Chiroptera; Vespertilionidae. The record is from Rfam by way of RNAcentral.
CGUGCACCAGUGGGGUCCCUUGGCCUGGCUUGCACCCUCUCACAAUUCUGACCCCUCGGGGGAUGUCAGAGAGCCGGCUUUGGCCUGAUCCUGCAGGCCAGGCUGAGGGACCCCACUGGUGCACA